GCAAGUCGAGCGGAAACGAUAAAGAGCUUGCUCUUUAGGCGUCGAGCGGCGGACGGGUGAGUAAUGCUUGGGAAUAUGCCUUAUGGUGGGGGACAACAGUUGGAAACGACUGCUAAUACCGCAUAACGUCUACGGACCAAAGGGGGGGAUCUUCGGACCUUUCGCCUUUAGAUUAGCCCAAGUGAGAUUAGCUAGAUGGUGGGGUAAUGGCCUACCAUGGCGACGAUCCCUAGCUGUUCUGAGAGGAUGAUC
RNAcentral lists this ribosomal RNA (252 nucleotides) under uncultured bacterium. RNAcentral's name for it is "partial 16S ribosomal RNA". It matches the Rfam family "Bacterial small subunit ribosomal RNA", at positions 57 to 305 of the family's 1533-position model. The record is from RNAcentral.